Molecule: ribosomal RNA, 253 nt
Filed under: uncultured bacterium
Lineage: Bacteria
Description: partial 16S ribosomal RNA
Rfam family: Bacterial small subunit ribosomal RNA
Source: RNAcentral
UACGUAGGGCGCAAGCGUUGGCCGGAAUUAUUGGGCGUAAAGAGCUCGUAGGCGGUUUGUCGCGUCUGCUGUGAAAACCUAAGGCUCAACCUUGGGCUUGCAGUGGGUACGGGCAGACUAGAGUGCGGUAGGGGUGACUGGAAUUCCUGGUGUAGCGGUGGAAUGCGCAGAUAUCAGGAGGAACACCGGUGGCGAAGGCGGCACUCUGGGCCGGUACUGACGCUGAGGAGCGAAAGCGUGGGGAGCGAACAGG